RNAcentral lists this ribosomal RNA (490 nucleotides) under uncultured bacterium. Its description in RNAcentral is "bacterial SSU rRNA". It matches the Rfam family "Bacterial small subunit ribosomal RNA", at positions 903 to 1397 of the family's 1533-position model. The record is from RNAcentral.
AAAGGAAUUGACGGGGGCCCGCACAAGCAGUGGAGUAUGUGGUUUAAUUCGAAGCAACGCGAAGAACCUUACCAGGUCUUGACAUCCUAAGAAGAUUUCAGAGAUGAGAUUGUGCCCUUCGGGGAGCUUAGAGACAGGUGGUGCAUGGUUGUCGUCAGCUCGUGUCGUGAGAUGUUGGGUUAAGUCCCGCAACGAGCGCAACCCUUGUCAUUAGUUGCUACGCAAGAGCACUCUAAUGAGACUGCCGUUGACAAAACGGAGGAAGGUGGGGACGACGUCAAAUCAUCAUGCCCCUUAUGACCUGGGCUACACACGUACUACAAUGGCCGUUAACAGAGGGAAGCAAUACCGUGAGGUGGAGCAAAACCCUAAAAACGGUCUCAGUUCAGAUCGUAGGCUGCAACUCGCCUACGUGAAGGCGGAAUUGCUAGUAAUCGCAGAUCAGCAUGCUGCGGUGAAUACGUUCCCGGGCCUUGUACACACCGCCCGU